Molecule: ribosomal RNA, 758 nt
Filed under: Ligilactobacillus salivarius
Lineage: Bacteria; Bacillati; Bacillota; Bacilli; Lactobacillales; Lactobacillaceae
Description: bacterial SSU rRNA
Rfam family: Bacterial small subunit ribosomal RNA
Source: RNAcentral
CUAUACAUGCAAGUCGAACGAACUUUCUACACGAAUGCUUGCAUUCACCGUAAGAAGUUGAGUGGCGGACGGGUGAGUAACACGUGGGUAACCUGCCUAAAAGAAGGGGAUAACACUUGGAAACAGGUGCUAAUACCGUAUAUCUCUAAGGAUCGCAUGAUCCUUAGAUGAAAGAUGGUUCUGCUAUCGCUUUUAGAUGGACCCGCGGCGUAUUAACUAGUUGGUGGGGUAACGGCCUACCAAGGUGAUGAUACGUAGCCGAACUGAGAGGUUGAUCGGCCACAUUGGGACUGAGACACGGCCCAAACUCCUACGGGAGGCAGCAGUAGGGAAUCUUCCACAAUGGACGCAAGUCUGAUGGAGCAACGCCGCGUGAGUGAAGAAGGUCUUCGGAUCGUAAAACUCUGUUGUUAGAGAAGAACACGAGUGAGAGUAACUGUUCAUUCGAUGACGGUAUCUAACCAGCAAGUCACGGCUAACUACGUGCCAGCAGCCGCGGUAAUACGUAGGUGGCAAGCGUUGUCCGGAUUUAUUGGGCGUAAAGGGAACGCAGGCGGUCUUUUAAGUCUGAUGUGAAAGCCUUCGGCUUAACCGGAGUAGUGCAUUGGAAACUGGAAGACUUGAGUGCAGAAGAGGAGAGUGGAACUCCAUGUGUAGCGGUGAAAUGCGUAGAUAUAUGGAAGAACACCAGUGGCGAAAGCGGCUCUCUGGUCUGUAACUGACGCUGAAGUUCGAAGCGUGGUAGCAACAGAUAGAUA